Molecule: long non-coding RNA, 2300 nt
Organism: Gasterosteus aculeatus aculeatus (three-spined stickleback)
Lineage: Eukaryota; Metazoa; Chordata; Actinopteri; Perciformes; Gasterosteidae
Source: Ensembl
GCCUCCUGCCAGCAGACACAUUUAAAUAUAAUGUGAUUGAUUAGAGUGACGAGGCCCUUAAAUGAGCGUCACAUUUGACCGACACGCGUAACGUUACCUUGUGUGAUACUUUGUGGGGCUUGUAGCCUCCAGGGGGCGCUGUCAGUCUUUAACAUCAUCAUAGGAUUCAUCUCAUGUCAUUUUGUAUCACAAAUGUGCCUCAUGUGUCUCUACAGUGUGAACACAUGUGAAUAAUACGUUAAAUUCAUCCGACAGAAAUGAUUCAAAUGAACAUGUUAUCUGCUCAUGUGUUCAUGAUCAUCUCCUGCUCUUCCUUUAAGUUUAUUCACCGUCAUACUGUUAAAAAUCCUGGUUUCUGUGAUCGACUCUUCCGCCUUCUGACGUGAGACGAUUAUCCUGAUGAUUGACAUCUGGUUCAAACUAACGAGACGUUUGAGCGCCGAUCCGCCUUCGAGGAACCGAGACAGUCUGAUGUCAAUCAUCUCGGUAACCUGAGCUGGGUAACGGGACAUUUGAUGGACUUAGUUGAACCACGUACGAGGAACAGGGUCCUGAUCUCUAUCGGAGGAGAAAAGUGGAAUGAUGAACACCUGAAGUAAACAAAGUCGACUCAACAGAACAUCUUUUAUUAAAAUAUUAAACUUUAAAUUCGGGGCACAAAAGCGGCACCUCAGUCACACAACGGAGGGCGUAGAGAGGUCAGUGAAGUGCGCACUGCCCAACAGAAACAAAGCAGGUAAAACAACAGCUGGAGGUCACCUGAGGGACAAACAUAAGCUCUCCAGAUCCAAAUGAACACUGUAUCCAACCAGUGGGAACGCUGACCUCUGGCUCCGCCCCCCUCAAUCCCAGUUUGUCGGGCCUGUCAUGGACAUGUAGUCGUCCAGCUCGGCGUCCAGGCGGCUCUUGGUCAUGGACAUGUACUCGUCCAGCUGUGCGUCCAGGCGGCUCUUGGUCAUGGACAUGUACUCGUCCAGCUGUGCGUCCAGCUGCUGCUUCGUCGGAAUGCAACCUUUGCUCAUGCACCGCCUCCCAGAGGAAAUGACCCCGCCCAUCUGCAGGUGUGUUCGUCCUGAAAAGGGUACAUGAAUGACAUGUUGCGCAUGUUUGCGUCCCAUACGUGAUGAAGACUGAGCCCCUCAGAGCGCAGUGAGCGUGAGCACAGGUGGGAGCGCAGGUGGGACAGUAUUAAGUACGUUUGAUCCACUUACUGAUCAUUUUGUGGAUCUUUGUCAUCCUCACAAGGCGACGCUUCCUGAGUCGUCUGUGAAUGUUUCCUGGUUCUGAACAGGAGGCACAUGUACAGGUGUAGCUACAGGCGAAGAAGGCAACAAAAACUACCACCAGGUACUUACUUCUGCAGGUGGAGGCGAAGCUGGUUCUCCACCUGUACUUGUUCAUGAAGCUCCAGAAGCCUGGAGGUCUGGACGUGCCCUGAUGCCAGCCGAGUCGAGUCCAGACGUUCCCCCUCCUGGAGCGCUGCCCCACAGACGGGUCAGGACGGGGAUCAGAGGGUUAACCAGGGAGGAGCUGUGCACACCUGGAGAAACCCCUCCCACAUCUACACCUGUGUGACUCACCGGCAGGCGGAGCGACCGUGACCUCUGCGUCUCCACCAGCAGCAGCGUCUGUGGGGGGACGCACCCCUCCUGCUGCCGCAGCAUGACCGGGUCAAAGGUUACACUUCUGGACCGGCUCCUCUGGUCUACCAACACCUGAGAGAAGCUACAGGUAGACGGGAGACGACAUGAUACUGGGUUCCAUUAGCUCAUCCGGUUUCCUCUUUUUGGACCCAAAAGAAAUGAAUUAAUGAACUAAUGAAAGAUUCACAUGAAAGUUCUGUUGUGAGCAGCAGAGUCUCACCGCUCGUCCAGAGACACUGUCGACGUACUUCUUGGGAAAAACGAGCUUGUUUCGGAUGAAUCUGUCGGCUGCGGUUCUCCGCGACUCAUCCUGCCGGCGCGCUGUGACGCAGAGCCGAGUCCGUGUACCUGCGCGAGGACCCGCACGCGCCGAUCGACCAGGACCCGCACGCGCCGAUCGACGAGGACCCGCACGCGCAGAUCGACCAGGACCCGCACGCUGAUCGACCAGGACCCGCACGCGCCGAUCGACCAGGACCCGCACCGGAUGCCCGUGAGGACGAACACGAGCUGUUCCCGUUCAUAAGCCUGACAGUGGGAACCGAACCCUCAUGCAGUCCGUAAGUGGGGCAUUCUGAUUAUUCCUAAUUACUCUACUGCUCUUUAAUGCAUAUAUAUAUGCACACACAUGUGUGUGUGUGUGUGUGUGUGUGUGUG